GAUUUCUGGCUUGAAACAUUUAGCCGGCCACGGUUUCGUGUGUUAGUGCUAGAUGUUCUGGCCAUCCUUCCAAUCGCUAUUCAUGUCUCUUCAUUGAGGCGUGAGUGGUAUUGGAUCUUUUACUUUGAAAAAAUUAGAGUGUUUCAAGCAGGCUUUAUGCUAUGAAUACAUUAGCAUGGAAUAAUAAUUUAGGACUUCGGUUCUAUUUUGUUGGUUUCUAGGACUGAAGUAAUGAUUGAUAGGGAUAGUUGGGGGUGCUAGUAUUCAGUGGCCAGAGGUGAAAUUCUUGGAUUCACUGAAGACUAACUUAUGCGAAAGCAUU
Molecule: ribosomal RNA, 322 nt
Filed under: Sandonidae sp.
Lineage: Eukaryota; Cercozoa; Glissomonadida; Sandonidae
Description: SSU rRNA
Rfam family: Eukaryotic small subunit ribosomal RNA (bases 62-322)
Source: RNAcentral